GGCCAGGUGAACUUGACCAACUGUUCCCCCACACAGACAACAAUGACUGAAGAUCAGAGGAGAGCCACAUUCACCUCAACACUGUCAGUACCAUAAGCAGGAGGCCCGAGGACAGACUGGCCAAAGAUUCACCUCGCCGCACACACCAGGCGAAGAUAAUCGCUAUGUGUACAGGUUCUGUAAUAGAUAGAUCGGUAUAGACUCAUUGAGGUCAGCAAUAAGGUCAUUAAUUAUUUACCCUUCAGACAAGAGGUCACAAGAGGCCUGAGAGGAAAGGUGUUGAUGUGAGAAUUAGCAUGGUGGAAAGGAGAUGCAGCAGCAGAACAAAGGCCACAAUGAAUUGAAAAACAGCAGUGUGUGACCUCUGAGAUUAGGGAGAUAUUUCACUGUCAAAUGAAGCUAUCCACUGUUCCCCUCUUUAAUUCAUAUUAUUGUUUACAUCUGCAUUACUGGCAAUCCUGCUGCUAAUGCUGCUUAACUUAUGUCUGUAAUUCACAAUCUUUGUGAAUACUAUAUCCAUAUUGCCUUAUAAUACAUACAAUACAUACAUUAAUACAAUACAAUACAUUAACACACACAUUGAAUGAACAGAGUAAAAGAUGGCUAGGUAUGAAUUAAAGAUCACACUUCUUUCCCACAUUAAUCACUAGCAUCAGCUAUGUCAGACUUAGAUCUUGUUUCUCUCUAUUGGCUUACAUAGGUAGUAUAACAAGCACCUAUCGAUGUCUAAGCAAAGUGUUUAAAGUUGCCAGGGCAGUUUAUCAAAUGAGUUUUAAUUUCUCUUCGCUUCUUUUUUUUUGUUUGUUUGUUUUGUUUUGUUUUUGGAUCUCACCUCUUGUUGCAGCACUAAGAAACAGUUAUCUGUAGUUACAAAGGUACUGCAGAGCUGUUGCCUGUUUACUUUAAGAUUUUCCAGUCAAAUGUGUAUGUGAAUAAAUAAUUACUGCAGCAGCU
Melanotaenia boesemani (Boeseman's rainbowfish) is the source of this 954-nucleotide long non-coding RNA. RefSeq lists it as uncharacterized. Lineage: Eukaryota; Metazoa; Chordata; Actinopteri; Atheriniformes; Melanotaeniidae. The record is from RefSeq and is a predicted model, not a curated record. The transcript has 2 exons.